CUGGCUCAGGAUGAACGCUAGCGGCAGGCUUAACACAUGCAAGUCGAGGGGCAUCGGGAGGGAAGCUUGCUUUCCUUGCCGGCGACCGGCGCACGGGUGAGUAACACGUAUGCAACCUGCCCUCUUCAGGGGGACAACCUUCCGAAAGGGAGGCUAAUCCCGCGUAUAUCGGUUUCGGGCAUCCGAGAUCGAGGAAAGAUUCAUCGGAAGAGGAUGGGCAUGCGGCGCAUUAGCUAGACGGCGGGGUAACGGCCCACCGUGGCGACGAUGCGUAGGGGUUCUGAGAGGAAGGUCCCCCACACUGGUACUGAGACACGGACCAGACUCCUACGGGAGGCAGCAGUGAGGAAUAUUGGUCAAUGGGAGAGAUCCUGAACCAGCCAAGCCGCGUGAGGGAAGACGGCCCUAUGGGUUGUAAACCUCUUUUGUCGGAGAACAAAACCCGGGACGUGUCCCGGACUGCGUGUAUCCGAAGAAAAAGCAUCGGCUAACUCCGUGCCAGCAGCCGCGGUAAUACGGAGGAUGCGAGCGUUAUCCGGAUUUAUUGGGUUUAAAGGGUGCGUAGGCGGUCCGUUAAGUCAGCGGUAAAAUUGCGGGGCUCAACCCCGUCGAGCCGUUGAAACUGGCAGACUUGAGUUGGCGAGAAGUACGCGGAAUGCGCGGUGUAGCGGUGAAAUGCAUAGAUAUCGCGCAGAACUCCGAUUGCGAAGGCAGCGUACCGGCGCCAGACUGACGCUGAGGCACGAAAGCGUGGGGAUCGAACAGGAUUAGAUACCCUGGUAGUCCACGCAGUAAACGAUGAAUGCUGGUUGUCCUGGUCGAAUGAGAUCUGGGCGGCGAAGCGAAAGCGAUAAGCAUUCCACCUGGGGAGUACGCCGGCAACGGUGAAACUCAAAGGAAUUGACGGGGGCCCGCACAAGCGGAGGAACAUGUGGUUUAAUUCGAUGAUACGCGAGGAACCUUACCCGGGCUCAAACGGGAGUGGAAUGGACCAGAGACGGUUCAGCCUACGGGCCGCUUCCGAGGUGCUGCAUGGUUGUCGUCAGCUCGUGCCGUGAGGUGUCGGCUUAAGUGCCAUAACGAGCGCAACCCCCGCCGGCAGUUGCUAACGGGCAAUGCCGAGGACUCUGCCGGGACUGCCGCCGCAAGGCGUGAGGAAGGCGGGGAUGACGUCAAAUCAGCACGGCCCUUACGUCCGGGGCGACACACGUGUUACAAUGGGCGGUACAGCGGGAAGCCAGGCGGCGACGCCGAGCGGAACCCGAAAGCCGUUCUCAGUUCGGAUCGGAGUCUGCAACCCGACUCCGUGAAGCUGGAUUCGCUAGUAAUCGCGCAUCAGCCAUGGCGCGGUGAAUACGUUCCCGGGCCUUGUACACACCGCCCGUCAAGCCAUGGGAGCCGGGGGUGCUUGAAGUGCGUCGCCGUGAGGCGCGCCCUAGAGCAAAACCGGUGACUGGGGCUAAGUCGUAACAAG
This 1474-nucleotide ribosomal RNA is filed under the name uncultured bacterium. RNAcentral describes it as "16S ribosomal RNA". It matches the Rfam family "Bacterial small subunit ribosomal RNA". The record is from RNAcentral.